UAGCUGUUAAACACAUUUAUAGGUAAGAUUUGUAAAAUGUGAGAAUUUGUGAAUAUGUAGGCUAUAUUUUUUGUGAUGGGUUGAAAAACCACAGUUCAUGCCUUGAAGACAAUGCGUGGGCAUCUUUCUGACGCCCCUCUGCUGUCAUCUGAACCCCGUGUGGUUAGACCAAAGUCAAGAAAUGCACUGACAGCAGGAUGUUAGAGAUGAGGGUCUCAUGAAACAGACUCAACAUUUACUGCUGUGACACAAUGCAUCCAACACUGAUAUAAAAUCAUCACUCAAAUGAUGCAAAUUAUUUACACAAAUAAAAUGGAGCAUUCAUAAAUAUGUAUUAUGUGGCUGCACAUUGACAUACACAUUGUCCCCAUCCCUACAGAUCCUAAAUAGACAAAUACGUUAUGAUUUUUUUUUAAAAAACACAUCGGAAUUACAGUUACAUACAUGUUUUGUAAUUACCGUUCUAUUUUCGUUUAUUUCAUUAAUUUGUAAGAAAAUCUAAAAUCCCUGGCACAAAAAAAGCAGUUCACAACACAAAACUCUUUACACCGAACAUAUCUUUUAAUGAUUCAUUUAUUUAUUGAUUGAUUUAAAGGAGUACAUAGAUUUGAUGUAUUUAUAGAAUGACAUUUUAACAUGACAUUGCAGAUGUGGGUAUUUGAAGUGCAUGGUGGGGAAAUGUCACAGACUCUGUAAGCAAGUGAAGGUGUGGGCGUUGAGCACUGGCUGUUCUCCUCUCACCAUGCUGCUCUUUUCAUCUCACACCCGUGUGGUUAGAUCAAAAACAUGCAACUGCAUUCAGAAUUACAGCAGAUUUUCUUACACAGUAGAGUCAACCGGCAAGAAGAACACCUGCUCAGUCUGCAGUGACCUUUCUAAAUAUCUGUAGAUCUGUGUGCAACAAAGAAAAAAAAAACAGUGCAAUACAGAGCAACAGUGUCUUUGUGGAUGAUAUAUGAAGUAUAUAAACCUGAGGGAUCAAACCUAUAUCACUUAGGAGGCUUGUUUAUGUUAGCAAUAGCACACUAACACAAUUUCCUAUAGACUCUGAGAGUUCGUAAGCUCAGGUUAUGUCAUGACAAUCACAACAUGUAUGGAAUAAAUAAAAGUGACGCAUUGCCUGGCUAUGUAUUUCCAUGGUAAUGAAACUAUAAUGAAGUAACAGAGAAGUGCAUUAAGCAGUCAAUAUGGGAGGUAUGGAAUUCAUGCAUUAUGGCUCUUUGACCCCAUUUCCGGAAAGAUCAUUAAGCAUAAAUGCUUUUCUAUCUAUUCUGGACAACAUCCUUACCUGAAAGCAUCAUGAAACUAAUUAGCACCUUCAAGAGCCCCUGACCACUGGGCGACUGUAAUGCACAACCUAAACAGAGUGGAACUUUAAUCCACAGCAGGUGCAGGCCUAGCUUUUGCACAAGUGAUUUAUAUAGGCAAUUAAGGUCCACCCACUGGAGACAUGUAAGUUUUUACUUUCUUGAUUUGUUUCUCCUUGCAGGCCGCUUUCAGUCAAACUGCAUGGGAGGCGAUUCACUGAUUGCCUUUUUUAAGUUAAAAGUUGUACAUCAGAUAUUCUUCUAGACAUGGCUAUAUGUACAGAUUGUUUGAUACUGUUAUGUUCCUGUUUUCUAGCUUCGAACAUCUCCAGGACUCACACUCGUCUCAGUCGGUGGUUCUGUAGAGUUAAGAUGUAUAUUUGAGCAGACCCUAAGGUACUGCUAUACCUCUGCUGCAUGGAAAAAGAUGAAUCUACGGACUGGAAAACUCACGACAGUGAAUAGUAGCUAUGAGAAUAAUGUCCUUCAGCCUGAUGGUAAAACCUGUGUUUUGACUCUCAAACACGUAACCAAGACAGAUUCAGGCUUGUACUAUUGCAUGAGCAAAGUUAAUGACAUGGCUGUCAUCGGCAAUGGGAGCAGGGUGAUCGUAAAAGAUCAAUCUGAACCAGAACUCUCCAUCUUACACUCAGCACAUGAACCUGAUUCACCAUCAGUUCAGUAUCUUCUGCAGUGUCUCGUGACUGGACUUGUCCCGUCUCAGGUGCGUGUGUUCUGGAUGAUUGGACAGAAGGAGCGAGCUGGAUGGACCGAGUCUGGCUGGACAGACGACACUGAUUCAGCCACAGAAUUCACUCGAGCUCAUCUCUCAGUUUCUGAAGAGGAGUGGAAUGAAGCCGGUGAAAUUCAAUGUUUUGCUGAAUAUGAUGGCAAGAACAUCUCCAAAACUCUGAGCCGAAGCGGAGCUGAACCUUUAAUCAUCUCGUGGCUUGUGUACUCUGGCUGUGUGGCAGCGCUCCUGACCAUACUUCUAACUCUGAUUAUGUCUGUGGGAUUAUACAGAGAUAUGUUGAUGACCAAAAAAUCCAAACGGCUCAUGAGAAAAGAUGCCCACCGCAAAAUUUCAUAUGGUAAACAGAACACACUUCGAGAAGAGAGUCCAUCUGUUAUGGUAGGAGACAGAAAUGAAGAUGAUGAACAUUGAAGUGAAUCACAAAAAAAAAAAAUCAGUUUCUGCUGUUUCAGAAGAAAUAUUAUUUAAAUAAUAAACAGAUUUCAAAUAUCUAUCAUACAAUAUGAACAUGGAUUGAUGUAGCAAUAUUUAAUUUAUUUACAAAAACUACAUGAUAAAUGCAAUCUACCGGUAUGUUUAAGCCAAAUAAUCUGUGCAUAUAUAAUAUGGGUAUGUUACAGUACUUUUAUUGGUGAUAUUGGUAAAGGUUUUAGCAUUUGAUCAGUACCUAAACAGAACUACCUAAAAAAGUUGUCUAUACCAAUUUUUUUUUUUUUUUACAUUUAUUUAUUUACAAUUAUUUAAAAUGAUUUCCUAAAUCUUCUGAAGUUAUAUGAUAGUCCUGUGCGAGGAACAAAGUGAGACUGAAAAUCUUUGGGACUGUUCUCCUGUAUAUUUUAAUUGAAUGCAGACAACCAUGUUCAAAUGUGUAGAAUAGGAAAUUAAAGAUUUUCAGUAAUGACGGCUUAAACUUUGGUCUGGUCCUCACAGUUUUUGUCUUGGACAUUUUGUAUCACUUUAAUUAAUUGUGUUAAAUUUUGUCCUCUUUGGAGCUUGACAGAGGAGGUCAUGAAUGUUGUGAAAUAAUAAUAAUAAUAAUAAUAAUAAAAAUGUAGAUUCUUUAAAAGUGUUCCUUUUUAUUACAUGGCUCUCUGGAUCUCUUGAUUGUUGCAUUGAGCUGUCAAUAUUUGUCAUUAUUCAUAAUUCACUAUAUUUCUUAAUUGGCAAAUAAUAUAAAUAAUGGAGCAAACCAUUCCUUCAAGCAAACACACAACAGAUAAACAAAUCUUUAGAGUGUGAAAAAUUGCAAAUAUUUGAUCGGGGGAAAUAAUACUUUGCAAACUUUUAAUUAAGCAAAUCUAUUGGUAAUUUCAUAUACUUCAGCUUGCAUUUUAUAAUGUAAAUAUUUUGUCCUGUGUUUCUCGGGGAUCUUAUCGGUCAUGGACAGGAUGUUGGUCCAUCAAGAGAAUAAAGCGGGGAAGAGGAAAUGUUGGAGUAUGCUAAAACAUUUAAUUCCUGAAAUCAUAUAUAUUUUUAACUCAUAUAUCUUAAAAUAAUACGAUUGCCUGUUCUGGUUUUAUUAUGUCCAUGUUCAUGAAUAUUUCUUAGGAACUGUUUAAUUUAUUUGUUUGUUUUUAUAAUUAUCUUCUUUUGUUGUUUUUUUUUUUUAAUUGUCCUCCUGAAAAUUUGUUUAAUAAUGCUCCUCAUAAGCUACAUCAUAAAAGUAAAUGUUUCCUGAGCAGCAAAUCAGCUAGUACAAUUAUUUCUGAAAUCUCUGAAACAAUUUUAAUAUGAAAAUUUGGCAAUCGUUCAAAUAAAUUUUAAUUUAAAAGUGAUAAUAAAGAAAAAACUUAAUUUUUAAAUUACAAUAAUAUUUAGUAUUAUUGUUUUUACAUCACAUAAAUUCACUAAAUGGUAGCAUUGUUAACUAUCAUGAGAUCUCUUUUCCUACAUUUCUGAUAUGUGCAGGACUGAACAGCAAAGCUACAGUUCAACUUUUCUUCCCUGGUGGCCCAUCAAAUUAAAAUGAAUCUUAAUGUUACUUUUCAUUUUACUUUUUUUUUUUUUUUUUCCGAGAGGGUUAAAAACUCACAGUGAAUGAAACAGGAAAGUGUAUGGCCUCUUGCUGUAGUCUUCACACUCUCAUUUAACACCUUGUGGUUAGACAGAAGCGGCAUAACAGGAUGUUAGAAGAGACAAAGGUCUCAUGAAACAGAGAUGCAAAACUACUUUCACUGUCCAUUGUUGCAGCGACUCCACUGGCAUUACUUAAGCCUUGAUAUAAAACUGUCUGAAUUUUGCCUAAUAUUGUCAUCUAAUGUUCUCCAUCCCUACAGUAUGUCAAUAUCCACACUGAGAGUUAUGAAAUACUCAGAUGAUCAAUUAAACUAGUCUGCACAUCUUUAUUAACAAAGCAUUCAAAAUAAAACAUUAUAUAGGCUAAUGAAAAAUAGGUUAGUGUUGACAUAUUGACACAUAACGUUGAAUUAGAGCAGAAUUGUGAACAGCUAUUACAUUGACUAGUUUUCCUCUUUUGUAUUAUGCAGAUUUACAGAUCUUAGAGUCAGGAUAAAUGAAUGUGAACUCUGAAUUAAGAAAGUAACAUACUUUUAGUAUUUUUAAUUGUAUGUUGUGUAUUAAAGGUGGAUUUUUUUAAAUUACUUAAAUUAAGAGUUUUGUGUGUCUUGUUUUGACAUGCAGUUAUAAUAUAUUUACUAUCUUGACACAGAUGUUUCUGUCUGAGGUGCAGGUGGAGGAACAGUACUCUCAGUUUGAGAGUGAGGGUGUGGGUGUUGAGCAUUGGCCAUCUUACACCAUGCUGCUCUUUUCAUCUCACACCCGUGUGGUUAGAUCUGAACAAGUGACUGCAAACAAAUUGUACAAAGAUUUUCAGAAAGCAGAGAGUUAAACGGCAAGAAGAACAGCUUCUUAACCUGUAGCAGAAAACA
Carassius gibelio (silver crucian carp) is the source of this 4949-nucleotide RNA transcript. RefSeq lists it as uncharacterized. The transcript is spliced from 8 exons. The record is from RefSeq and is a predicted model, not a curated record. NCBI's taxonomy places the organism in Eukaryota, Metazoa, Chordata, Actinopteri, Cypriniformes, Cyprinidae.